GCUGGGCAUGGUGGUGCACACCUGUGAUCCAAGCAGCUUGGAAGGCUGAGGCUGGAGGAUUUUGAGUUCAAAGCCAGCCUCUG
This 83-nucleotide small RNA is filed under the name Marmota monax (woodchuck). The record is from RNAcentral. Lineage: Eukaryota; Metazoa; Chordata; Mammalia; Rodentia; Sciuridae.